Molecule: transfer RNA, 77 nt
Filed under: Bacteroidetes bacterium QS_8_68_28
Lineage: Bacteria; Pseudomonadati; Bacteroidota
Description: tRNA-Arg
Rfam family: tRNA
About the family: Transfer RNA (tRNA) molecules are approximately 80 nucleotides in length.
Source: RNAcentral
GCGCCUGUAGCUCAGUCGGACAGAGCGUCGGUUUCCGGUACCGAAGGUCGGGGGUUCGACUCCUCCCAGGCGUACCC